Molecule: unclassified non-coding RNA, 377 nt
Filed under: plant metagenome
Description: partial contains 5.8S ribosomal RNA, internal transcribed spacer 2, and large subunit ribosomal RNA
Rfam family: 5.8S ribosomal RNA (bases 1-105)
Source: RNAcentral
GAAAUGCGAUAAGUAAUGUGAAUUGCAGAAUUCAGUGAAUCAUCGAAUCCUUGAACGCACCUUGCGCUCCUUGGUAUUCCUUGGAGCAUGCCUGUUUGAGUAUCAUGAAAUCUUCAAAGUAAUCUUUUGUUAACUCAAUUGGUUUCUACUUUGGUAUUGGAGGUCUUUGCAGCUUCACACCUGCUCCUCUUUGUUCAUUAGCUGGAUCUCAGUGUUAUGCUUGGUUCCACUCGGCGUGAUAAGUUAUCUAUCGCUGAGGACACUGUAAAAGGUGGCCAAGGUAAAUGCAGAUGAACCGCUUCUAAUAGUCCAUUGACUUGGACAAUACUUUUAUGAUCUGAUCUCAAAUCAGGUAGGACUACGCGCUGAACUUAAGC